UACGUAGGGGGCAAGCGUUGUCCGGAAUCAUUGGGCGUAAAGAGCGCGUAGGCGGCCCGACAAGUCCGCUGUGAAAGUCAAGGGCUCAACCCUUGAAUGCCGGUGGAUACUGUCGGGCUAGAGUCCGGAAGAGGCGAGUGGAAUUCCUGGUGUAGCGGUGAAGUGCGCAGAUAUCAGGAGGAACACCGAUGGCGAAGGCAGCUCGCUGGGACGGUACUGACGCUGAGGCGCGAAAGCGUGGGGAGCAAACAGG
RNAcentral lists this ribosomal RNA (253 nucleotides) under uncultured bacterium. Its description in RNAcentral is "partial 16S ribosomal RNA". It matches the Rfam family "Bacterial small subunit ribosomal RNA", at positions 524 to 776 of the family's 1533-position model. The record is from RNAcentral.